This 600-nucleotide ribosomal RNA is filed under the name Aphanistes bellicoides. Its description in RNAcentral is "eukaryotic LSU rRNA". It matches the Rfam family "Eukaryotic large subunit ribosomal RNA", at positions 386 to 780 of the family's 3401-position model. Lineage: Eukaryota; Metazoa; Arthropoda; Insecta; Hymenoptera; Ichneumonidae. The record is from RNAcentral.
AAACCUGAGAAACCCAAAAGAUCGAAUGGGGAGAUUCAUCGUCAACAUAUUUGGUAUAUGUGCGAGUUAUGAUGUAAAUUAUCCUUGUGGUAAAUUUAUACGUGCUUGUAUCAUUUUAUUGCUGAGUAUUGUCGGCGUGCACUUCUCCCCUAGUAGGACGUCGCGACCCAUUGAGCGUUGAUUUAUGACCCGGAUGGUAGUCUUUAAUCAUUAUGAUUGAAGACCACUGGUGAUCUAAUCGGCUGCUUGAUGGUACUCGCAUGGUAAUGAGUCGCAAUUAUUUAAUUUGCGUCAAGCCCAUUGCAAGCGCGGCUAGUUAUUCGAUAGUGCGGAUUUAAUGCCGUCAUUGGAGCUAGCCAGCUGUUGGUUGAUGGUGUUCUUUGACUGGCUCAAAAUUACCGGUCUGCGACGCUACUGCUUUGGGUACUUUCAGGACCCGUCUUGAAACACGGACCAAGGAGUCUAACAUGUGCGCGAGUCAUUGGGAUUUUUAUAAUAAACCUAAAGGCGCAAUGAAAGUAAAGGUCGUCUUUAUGUCGACUAAGGGAAGAUGAGUUACAUUACGAUGAGCUCCGCACUCCCAGGGCGUCUCAUUCUCAU